This 334-nucleotide unclassified non-coding RNA is filed under the name soil metagenome. RNAcentral describes it as "partial contains 5.8S ribosomal RNA, internal transcribed spacer 2, and large subunit ribosomal RNA". The stretch from base 1 to 120 matches the Rfam family "5.8S ribosomal RNA", at positions 35 to 154 of the family's 154-position model. The record is from RNAcentral.
GAUGAAGAACGUAGCGAAAUGCGAUAAGUAAUGUGAAUUGCAGAAUUCAGUGAAUCAUCGAAUCUUUGAACGCACAUUGCGCCCGCCAGUAUUCUGGCGGGCAUGCCUGUUCGAGCGUCAUUUCAACCAUCAAGCCCCAGGCUUGUGUUGGGGACCUGCGGCUGCCGCAGGCCCUGAAAACCAGUGGCGGGCUCGCUGUCACACCGGGCGUAGUAGAUUUUAUCUCGCUCAGGGCGUGCUGCGGGUCCCGGCCGUUAAAAGCCUUUUUUUACCCAAGGUUGACCUCGGAUCAGGUAGGAAGACCCGCUGAACUUAAGCAUAUCAAUAAGCGAGG